RNAcentral lists this ribosomal RNA (440 nucleotides) under uncultured bacterium. RNAcentral's name for it is "partial 16S ribosomal RNA". It matches the Rfam family "Bacterial small subunit ribosomal RNA", at positions 338 to 795 of the family's 1533-position model. The record is from RNAcentral.
CCUACGGGUGGCUGCAGUGGGGAAUAUUGCACAAUGGGGGAAACCCUGAUGCAGCGACGCCGCGUGAGCGAUGAAGUAUUUCGGUAUGUAAAGCUCUAUCAGCAGGGAAGAAAAUGACGGUACCUGACUAAGAAGCCCCGGCUAACUACGUGCCAGCAGCCGCGGUAAUACGUAGGGGGCAAGCGUUAUCCGGAUUUACUGGGUGUAAAGGGAGCGUAGACGGCUUGGCAAGCCAGAUGUGAAAGGCUGGGGCUCAACCCCAGGACUGCAUUUGGAACUGUCAUGCUAGAGUGCAGGAGAGGUAAGUGGAAUUCCUAGUGUAGCGGUGAAAUGCGUAGAUAUUAGGAGGAACACCAGUGGCGAAGGCGGCUUACUGGACUGUAACUGACGUUGAGGCUCGAAAGCGUGGGGAGCAAACAGGAUUAGAUACCCCUGUAGUC